Molecule: ribosomal RNA, 2022 nt
Filed under: Oxymonas sp. GlbOx
Lineage: Eukaryota; Preaxostyla; Oxymonadida; Oxymonadidae
Description: SSU rRNA
Rfam family: Eukaryotic small subunit ribosomal RNA
Source: RNAcentral
UCAAAGAUUAAGCCAUGCAUGUCUCAGUCUCAACAACUUGUACGUGUGAAACUGCGAAUGGCUCAUUAAAUCAGUUAUAAUUUAUUUGAUAGUGGUCUUACUACAAGGAUAGCCGUAGUAAUUCUAGAGCUAAUACAUGCAAGAAGACCCGACUCGUGAGGGAAGGGUUGUGUUUAUUAGAUCGAAAACCAAUGCAGGGUGUUUUGGGGUGGCGCAAGUCAUUCCCGGAUGUCCGAAUAUAUGGUGAGUCAUGAUAAAUGUCGAAUCGAACUUUGUUCGAUGUGUCAUUCAAAUUUCUGCCCUAUCAACUUGUUGGUAGGAUAGAGGCCUACCAUGGUUUUGACGGGUAACGGAGGAUUAGGGUUCGAUUCCGGAGAGGGAGCCUGAGAAAUGGCUACUACUUCUAAGGAAGGCAGCAGGCGCGCAAAUUACCCAAUCCCAAUCAUAUUGGGGAGGUAGUGACAAAAAAUACCGAUGCUGGGCCUUUCAGGUUCAGUAAUUGGAAUGGUGUGGAAGCAAAUCGUCCAUAGAGCAGCCAUUAGAGGGCAAGUCUGGUGCCAGCAGCCGCGGUAAUUCCAGCUCUAAUAGUGUAUACUAAAAUUGCUGCAGUUAAAAAGCUCGUAGUUGGAUUUUGGAUGGAACAAGAUACCUUUAUGUUUUUGCUGUGCAUAUUGUUAUGUGCUUUGCCUGUUUCUUGAGGCGGUACAUGACGUAUGUAUGGUCGUAAAGGUUGUUUCGUCCCUGUCGCAAGACAUUUUUUCGAAGGUACGCAGUCCCCUUCACUGGGCUGAUUGUGUAAUUUCGGAGGGUUUACUUUGAAGAAAUUGUAGUGUUUAAAGCAGGCGUUUCGCAGCUGAACACAUUAGCAUGGAAUAAUAAAAUAGGACAUCUGAGUUGGGAACUUGCCCUUUUCUCGCCAGCAAUCUUCCAAAUGUGGCCGUGGUUAUUUUUCUGUGUUGGCCGCGAGGCUUUUCGCAGGGAGAUGGCCAUUUUGGCCACGUUUGAGAUUGUUUGGUUUUUCAAAGGGAGGGGGAGAGAGGCCCAGCUAUCGUUUUAGUAUAUCUAUUUUGUUGGUUUAUGGAGAAGGUGUAAUGAUUAAUAGGGACAGUUGGGGGCAUCCGUAUUGCAUUGUCAGAGGUGAAAUUCUUGGAUUUAUGCAAGACGAACUAGUGCGAAAGCAUUUGCCAAGGAUGUUUUCAUUAAUCAAGAACGAAAGUUAGGGGAUCGAAGGCGAUCAGAAACCGCCGUAGUCUUAACUAUAAACUAUACCAACUAGGGAUUGGAGAGUUGUCUUAAAAUGGCCUCGUCAGCACCUUUAGAGAAAUCAAAGUCUCUGGGUUCUGGGGGGAGUAUGGUCGCAAGGCUGAAACUUAAAGAAAUUGGCGGAAGGGCACCACCAGGUGUGGAGCCUGCGGCUUAAUUCGACUCAGACACGGGGAAACUCACCAGGUCCAGACACGGGAAGGAUUGACAGAUUGAUAGCUCUUUCUUGAUUCUGUGGGUGGUGGUGCAUGGUCGUUCUUAGUUGGUGGAGUGAUUUGUCUGGUUAAUUCCGAUAACGAACGAGACCUUAACCUGCUAAAUAGCUCAGUCUCAAGAGUUUCUUUUGAGACUAGUGGCGCGUCAUUCUUUGGGGUGGUGCGUUAGGAGCUUCUUAGAGGGACUACCAUGGUUGCACAUGGUGGAAGCUUGAGGCAAUAACAGGUCUGUGAUGCCCUUAGAUGUCCUGGGCCGCACGCGCGCUACAAUGAUGCAUUCAACAAGGUUGUGCUUGCCCGAAAGGGUCGGCUAAUCUUUUCAAACUGCAUCGUACUGGGGAUUGAUCUUUGUAAUUUUGGAUCAUGAACUAGGAAUACCUAGUAAGUGCAUGUCAUCAGCAUGCGCUGAUUACGUCCCUGCCCUUUGCACACACCGCCCGUCGCUCCUACCGAUUGAAUGAUCAGAUGAAAUGCCCGGAUGCGUGGCGCGCUGCCUUUCGGGGUGGUGCGCCGUGCAGAAGAGUAGUAAAUCUUAUUAUUUAGA